UUUCAACCCCCAAUCUUAAAAAAAACAAAAAAAACUUCCAUGCUCUCUUCCCCUCCCCCUUUUUCUUUCUGUCGAUUGGGUUCCUUAGAGACCCGCCCUACCCCCAACGACGACGGUGAUGACCGCCGUGUACAACGAAGCAGCGCAACCUAGGUACUCCUACUUUAAAAUUUUUUUAUGUUUCUUGGUUAAAAAAAAAGUUUUCUUGAAAUAAAAAGGAAAAAAAAACAAUGAAUAAAUAUAAAAAAAAACAAGGUAAGCAGAGAACAAAAAGAAGAGAAAAGGAAAAAAAGAACAAAACUAAACCUCUUGAACCUUCCUUCUCUUUUUUGUUUUCAUAUCCGUUUUUAUUUCCAAUAUCUGUGUUACAAUCUUUCUUUUAAAAAAAAUAAACCCCCCCUUUUACAACAUUUUUGAAUGGCUUUUUAUAGCCAUCUUUUACAAGUUUUUUUAUUACUUUUGCCAUAUUUUCCCGUCUUGCUUGUUUGCUCUAUUUUUGUAGGGUAUGGGGGCGACUGGUGGAGCAGGUGAUGGUGGCUGGUGUCAGAGGAAAGUGGGGAGGUGGCUAGGGUUUUUUCUUUGCUGGAAAAUGUUUAGUAGGUUAGUUUAGGUGGGCUGUUGGUUUAGAUUGGGUUUGAUGAUGUUGGGCUGAUGAAAUUGGGGUGGGUAUUUGGUUGUAUUUGGGCCAAAAUUGGCCUACAACAGUAUGUAUGUAAACUAUAUAUAAUGUUUGAUAGUGAGAAUAUAACUAAUAAUGUUAAAAUAUAUACAUAAUAUAUACAUGUAUACAUAUGAAAAAUGUGUGCACAUGACGUAUAUGAAAAAUAUAUACAUAGUAAUAUAAAAUAAUAAGUGAUGAUAGUAAAACUAAUGGGUAUAAUAAUUAUAAUGAUAUACGAAAAUAAUACUAUAUAUAAAAUAUGCAUACAAGUAUAAUAAAAUAUAUGUCUUGAUAUUAAUAACAAACAUAGUAGGAGUAAAAUAAAUGUAAUAAUGAUAUAUACACAAUAUGGUAUUAAGAAUAUAUAUAUAUACAUAUAAAAUAUAGUAUUUAAAAAUAUAUACAUAAGAUGGUAUAAAAAUAUGUACAAGGAAAUGUAUAAGAAAUAUAUAUAAUUAGUAAUAUUAAAAAUAUAUACAUGACAUAUAUAAAACAUAUACAAUAUAUACAUACCUUAGAAAUGAUAAUAAUAAUAAUAAACUACUUUGUACCUACACAAAUAUAUACACACACAUAUAUAUAUAAAUAAUAGUAUUAGAAAUAUACAAUAUAAUAUUAGAAAUAUACAUAUAAUAGUAUAAAAAAUAUAUAACUAAUAAUAUUAAAAUAUAUAUAAUAAUAUAUAAAAAAAAUAUAAUAUUGAAAACAUAUAUACAUAACAUACCUGAAGAAUAUAUAUAAUAUAAUAUUUAAACAUUUACAUAAUAUAUACAUAUUAGAAAUAAAUAACGACUAAUAAUAAUAAUAAUAUUAGAAAGAAUAAUGAAGUAUAUAAAAAAGCAAAUAUAAUAUAAUAAUAAUAUUAAAAUAAAGUAAUUAAAAUAGUACUAUAUAUAAAUAUAUAUACAUACAUAUAUAAUAUACAUACAUUAAUAUUAAUAAUAAUAAUAAAACUAGAAAUAAUAAUAAUUAGUAAUAAUAAUACGUUAGAAAAUAAUUAAUAUGUUAAUAAAAAUAAUAGUAAUGAAAAUAAUACUAACAGUAAUAAUAAAGAUAAUAAUAGAAAUAAAAUAAUAGUAAUAAUAUUAAUAAUAUGUAAAAAAUGAAAAUAAACGAAAAAGGACUAAAUCGAACUAAGAACAGAAUUUUGGGGCAAAUUUAAAAAGAAAUAAAGGGCAAAGGACCAAAAUGAACACGCGGGCAACUCUGGGGGAUCAAAAGCGCAAUAUUCCCUCCUCCUAAAACGCAGCGCAUGGUAUAGGACUAGAUCACAAAGCGCGACAAAUUUCGGGGCCUAAUUAGGAAAUAUUAAAAACUCAAUUGCGAAAACAUGAAAAGGCGGAAGGGCCAAUCGCGCAAUUAGACCAUCAAACAAAAACACGCGAUCCUAGGGUAAGACGGGUCAGGUCGGAUCGGGUUAGGCCAAAACGAUGUCGUUUUGGGGUUAAAGGGCAGCCCCCAAAACGACGUCGUUUUGGAGGGCUAUAUAAGGCCAAUUUUUGACAAAAAAAUCAUUUUGAGGAGAUAAAGGAAAAAAAAGAAAGGAGAAAGAAGAGAGAAGGGAGGGGGAAAGGAAAUCCGGCCAGGGGGGCAGGAAAAGGUAAAAAUUUUCCUUUUUUUAUAUUUUAAUAAUAUAUAUAUAUGUAUAUGUAUAUAUAUAAAGAAAGAAAAAAAACAAAAAAAGAAAGGAAAAAGAUUCGAAAGAAGAGGAAAAAAAUGCAAGCUUUUUUGUUGAUGUUUCUUUUGUGUUCAAAAUUCGGAGGGAUUUUUGUAUUUUUUUCUUUUCAAUCUUUUUAAAAAAUCCCCCUGUUUACAAUUGGAUCUGGCUCUUAUAGCCAUUUUAAAACAAUAUUUUAAACCUCUUGCUACUGCUCCUGUAUUGUCUGCCUCUGUCUUGGUGUUUGUCUUCUUUUGCAGGGUAUGGCCAUUGUCAGAGAAGCAUGGUGGGCAGCAGUGGAAUGGUGGUGGUAGUGGCUGGUGCUAGGUCUCGGGCAGAGACAUGCCUAGCAUGCGGCGGCCUAGGGUUUCCCUUGGCUGAAAGUUUUGGUUUUUUUUUGGAGGUUAAGGUUAGAAUUGGGCUAUUUGUUAUUGGGCUAAUUUGGGUAUGGGUAGUGGUUAGGUUGGCAUUGGGUUGUAUUUGGGUUUAUGGGGUUUGGGUAAUUGGGCUGUACUUGGGCUUUAUUUGGGUUAAUUUAGAUGGGUAUUAGGUUUAUGAAAUGGGUUGAGGUUUAAGUGUCGAUAAAAUUGGGCUGUGGGUAUUUUGUAAAAAGGCCCAAAAUUGGCCUACAACAAACGACUUCAACCAUGUGGGUAGUUUAAAUCCGAUCACUAUCUCACUUGACAGAAUCUAACUGGUUUUUCCCACUUGAACACGCCAAUUUGUUCUUGGGAUUUUGAAUACAGCACGGCCGACCCAACUUCCCAACUAUACGCCAAACGAUUCCAACCCAACAUUCACUUUUUGAAUUGAAAUCGAAUCAACUUUAAGGGACGAAUUUGUACUAUCACAUAUACUGGACAGAUAGCGAAUAUUGAAUUGUAAGGUAUUUAGUGUGGGUUUAUAUCUCGUGAUUACUUUGUCGGAGCGAUAACCAAACUAAGACUAAAAAAAUUUAGUUAAAUAUAAAAUAAAUCAUGCUAGAUGGAGUAUGGAAGUGGCUUUUAGUGGAAAGGGGAAAGGGGAAAAGGCUUGGAACACAAUUAAGCCAAAAUGUUGAAAGUAAAAGAAAGAAAAUGAAAUGGUAGAAUGAAGUAGGGACGCAGAAAUGGAAAGGAAAAAGAAAAAGAAAAUAAUUUAUUAAUGUCAAAAGCCAAGUGUGUUCAGUUGGUUAUAGUCACUAAGUUUUAUGAACACUUUUAGAGCACGUUUGGUUCGCUGUAUUGGAUUAGAGGUGUAUUGGAUUAGAGGUGUAAUGGAAUAGAGGUGUAAUAGCAAAUCAACUGUUUGGUUGAAUGUAAUGGAAUAGAGGCGUAAUAGUAAAACUGUGUUUGGUUGAAUGUAAUAGAGGUGUAAUAGCAUAAUGGAGAAAACUAAAAUGACCAGAAUACCCUUAGCAUAAAUUUGUUUUGGUAAAUGAUUAUUGUUAUUGUUAUUUAAAUUUUAAUAAGAUUAUUUAUUAUCAAAAAUAAAUAAUUUAAUCAUAUUUAAACAUAAUUAUUAUUUAAUAUAUUUUAAUUAAAAUAUAUAAUUUAAUAAAAUUCUUAAUAAUUAGCAGAAUUUGUUUUGGUAAAUUAUUUUAUUUAAAUUUUAAUAAGAUUAUUAAUAUCAAUAAUAAAUAAUUUAAUCAUAUUUAAACAUAAUUAUUAUUAAAUAUAUUUUAAUUAAAAUAUAUAAUUUAAUAAAAUUCUUAAUAAUUAAUAUUCUUAUAUGAAUUUACUCAAACCAUAAUAUAUGAUACUGUAAAAUAUAAAAUAACAUAAUUAUUAUUAAAUAUAAUAUAAUUAAAAUAUAUAAUUUAAUAAAAUUCUUAAUAAUUAAUAUUCUUAUAUGAAUUUACUCAAAUCAUAAUAUAUGAUACUAUAAAAUAAAAUUUUAAAUAAUUAAUAUUAAAUAUAUUUUAAUUUAAAUAUAUGAUUUAAUAAAAUUUAAAAUAAUUAUAACUAAUAAAUUAUAUUUUAUGAAUUUGUAUAAUUUAAAAUAAUAAUUAUUACAUAUAAUUUAAUAAUAAUAUAAAAUUUCAUAAAAUUCUUGAUAAUAAAUUUUCUUAUAUGAAUUUAUACAAUUUAAAAUAAUGCCAAUGCCAACACUACCACAUUUGGGUUCAAAUUAUACUCAUAGUAAGCUCAAACUUUUAUUGAUGCCAAUGCCAACACUACCAAAACCUUUUGGACAAUUAUUUCGAAGAUUUAAACCAACAAAAAGAAAAUCAAUAAGUAAUAAAACCAUAGAAAAUAAAAGAAAAAAUUUGCCUUUGAAGCACAUUCAAUUGUGCACUUGGUUCUCUUUGAUAUCUCCAUGAUUUCUUCAUCUUUAUUCAUAAUAUCAAACAUAGGCAAACAAAACGAUAAUUGUAACCCCCUACCCCUACCAACAUUUUAUUGUAAGUAUAACUAACACAGGAUAACUAGUUGGCCUCUUAAAACAGUCAAAGACCAGACCCCAAACCAAACCAAACUGCUAAACAACAAAGCAGACAUCAUUAAAAAGACCCCAUCCCCAGAUUGCAUCAUUUUCAAUUCUUAGAAAUGAGGAGCAUAGAGCUGGAGAACCUUCUGCUAGGACGGUCUGCUGCUAAUAUCAUCCCACCAAGCACUCACAUGCUUCCUGCUGGUUGUCAUGUAUUAGGGAUCACUUCCAGAACCCUGUUUUCCCUUAGCAACAUUUGCAAACUCACAAGCUCCAGACAACAAGGGACUGGAGAUGUUACCGUUAGCAUACUACACGCGUGAUUGCAAAUUUAUGAACAUUCAACUACAAAAGUCCAGAACCUACCAAAAUUUCUAAGCCAAUACCUCAGAAUCGAUUUGCUGAAUAUUGGGGAAAAUUUGUUUCAGGGUAGCAUUGUAGUUAGGAGACUGCGCUUGCAAUAAAACAGUACAGUUGAUCACAUAUGAGAAAGGUUAGGAGAGAAGAAUGACUACUAGGCCAGUAUAGAAGAUUGAGAAAUGUCAAACGAUAAUCACCAAUUGUGCAAAUAACUCUAUAGCUAAAAUGAAUGCAAUAUGCCAAGGGGAGGAUGAUGAUAUAGACUUAACUGAACUUAGCCCAGGAAGGUAGAAAACUACUUUAGAUGGAUGCCACUACUUUGGUGAUCAUAUAUUUAAUCACCUAUAGCUAGAUUCAGAUCAUCCAUAAUUUCAACUAUCAAACCAUCACAUUAUGCGCAGAUGAAAGUGACACAGCUUAAUACUAGCUUGAGAAGCUGGUUCAUUCAUUAUUUGCAAAUUACUCAGAAGUGGUUCAAUAGUUUAGUUUAUAUAUAGAUACGAGUCUCCACAGCAUAAACAAGAAUAAUACCUAAAGUUGAAAUGCAAAUCUUAGCACAAACUCUUGGCCAACAGAUCAAGAAAACAUUUAACAAAAAAGUACCUGCUUUAUUAGGCAAACAAAGACGAGAAAAACACAUUGCAAUGUUGGAAUUGAAAGGAGAAAUGAAACAAACAUUGAGAUUUCGAAAAAGUACUUUACUCCAGAGGUGUCAAGCAAAUAUACCAAAAAAAAUAUAAGCUAGAAAGUUUAGAAGAUAAUACUCAAGAGGUUUAUAUAAAAGUUAACAAGUGGAAAAAAACAGAAGGAUUAAAAUCAUACCUGAUGCCCCUACUACUACCUCCCCAAUCACAAUAGCUUACAAUUAGCUUUUUAAGUUGCUAAACUCCUCGCAAUGCCAUCUUCAUUUUCUAAACAUAAAAAAAUUAUUAACUAAGUAUAUGUUUUAACCCCCCUUUUUAUUUUCUAAAUAGCAAUACAUAUAAAACAAAUGAAUUGCACCCUUUGUUUUUGCCAAUUAUUUCCAUAAAAUUCAGAAUAUAAUGCUAACUUAAAUACUAUAAUUCAACCAUAAGACAUUAAUUUUUUCAGAAAAUUCAAGAAAGUGAAAGCAAAUAGUAAAACCAUUUUGAACAAUACGAUUAAAUAAAUACUCAACACCUCCUACAACUUAGCAUUUCAACUACACAAAUUCACAAUGUAACCUACUAAUUACAACUUCGACCUACAAAUUUAUAUUUUACAACAAACAAAAAUCCCGCUUCUAAUCAACUAUCCUUAAUGUAACAUAUAAUGAGGAAAAAGAAAACAAUAUUUCAAAGAUUCUAUCACAGGAAAAAAAAUCAAAUCAAAACAGAAAAUUUGAACAGCAUACAUAUAAAUGGUCUUCUAAAAUUGACCAAGAAAAAAGAAAACAACAACAUUUUCAAACCCAAUAACUUGAACCCAAAAUCACCCCCCAAACAAUAGUUUGCAUGCAAAGAGAUUAUAAAUAACAGCAGAAAAAACAUAGAUCUAGUAAAAAGAGACUCGAAUUAGAAAAAAAUUUUAAAGAAAGAAAAAUAGAACAGAGAAAUCAACAGGCAAGAAUGCAAAUAAAGGGGAAAAAAUAAUAGGCAAAAUAUGGGAAUUUUACCUGACAAAUGAAAUCGAUUCUCAGAGAAGACGAUGAGUGUCUAGACACGAAUGAAAAGCAUCCAACUUAUAUGAUAUUCCCAAUUAGAAGUGUUUCGAAAUUCGACAAAGAUAAAUAAAAUCAAAAUCAAAAUCAAAAUCGAUUCUACAGAAAAGAAAAGAAAAGAAAAACAGGGAAAAAUUUGGAAGAAGAAGCAGAAAUAUGGAGAAAAGAAAAUGGAGAAAAGAAAAGAAAUGUGAGAAGAAAAGAAGCGUAUCGUACCAGAAGAAGAAGUAGAAAUCUGGAAAGGAAAAAAUUUAGAAACGUCGGAAGAGGGUGAGGGAAAAGAAAUUACCUGUGCAAAGAAGCAUGAGAGAAUCGGAGCGUUGAGGACGAGGGCAGAAAACGGAAGAGAAAAAAGGGAAAGACGCGGAAUGGGUAAUCGGCGCUGAGGGAGCGUAAUGCCUAUUACCCGCAGUCAAUGUAAUGGGGGAGUAACUGAUUCGGCGCGGAAUGAGAAAACAACGAACCAAACGCCGGAAUAGGUCGGUAAUGUAAUAGGCGCGUAAUCGGGGAGUAAUGGUAUACCUAUUACAGCGAACCAAACACGCUGUUAGUGUUAAAAUUUAGCUAGAUUUUUCCUAAAAUAUUAUCACGAGAUAAAUCAAAAUUUUAAAAAUCAAAUUUAAACUAAAGAUCAAAUUUAAAUUAAUUAUAGAAUUUUAACAAUAUAAAAAAUAAUUUGAUCUUUAUCCAGCCAAUUUCAAUUCUUCAAUUUUUAUCCAGCCUACUUCAAAUCUUUAAUCUUUAUCCAGCCAACUUCAAAUAUUCAAUCUUUUAAUAUAGAGUAGUAGGGUCGAAUCCACAAGGACUGGCUAUCCAAUUUCGCUUUUUUUUUCCGUGACUAGAAUCACUGUCGCGGUCACAAUCACGCCCACGACCUGUGCGGAGCAAUGCUGAAAAAAAAAGGGUUUUAGUUGGUAAAGAUAAUAAAAUAAGUAAAUACAUAGUGUAAUAAAAUCAAAAUAAGAAUAGAUUCGAAAUUGCAAGAAAAAUCAAAUCACUUGACAGUGACCACUCUUGGUUUCACUAUCCCAAUUCCUUUUAACUCGGUUUUUGGGAUGUGACAUGAUGUGUCAUCACUUGACGUUGGUGAACGAAAAAGAUAAAAUCAAAUAGUUGGGUGACUAUUUUAUAACUUUUCAUAGUUAGAUGAUCAAAAGAAAAAUUUACUAAUAAUUGAGUGACUACUAAUAUAAUUUACCCAAAAUGUUUUAAGAGCUCACCAAAUGAAGAAAGAUAGCCUAAUAUAACUAUUAUUAAUAAGCACAUGUAUGUUUUGAUUUGAUAAAACACAUAGGUAUGGGCGAUAUUUAAAAGGGCCAAAAUAAGGUUUUAAAAGUUUGUGGGCACCAAAUAUAAAAAAAAUUGCUUAAAAAGAUUUAAAUUAAAUAAUUCAAAACUAUAAUGGACUAGAAUUGUUAUUUUACACUUUAACUAAAAGGGACCAAGGCGACUUCCUUCCCCCUAGCUACACCUCUGCAUCUAGGUAAUGUAAAAUUCACUUGAGUAUCACUAAACAUAGAAGUAUAUUUAGCGCAAGAAAUUUUAUGUUUCCUUACAUAAGUUUAGUUGAUUCGAGACAUGGUCUUUCGAGCUGCAUUAAAUCGAGUCACAACUUUUGUGUAAUUAUUGAGAUGGCUUAAUUAUCUUUCAAGAUGGUUAUAUUUAUAUUUUGGCUCAAAUAUGGGAUGUAUACAUAAGCCAACUUGGGGCAAAAGCCUUUUUGUGGUGUUAUGGCAUUAUACUUGUUGGGGGGAUGGGGCUAAGUCGAGCAUCAGCUUGAUUAUUCCAAAUUUUUUUAAACUUAAACUCGUUUUUACUUAAUUUAUCUAAGAAGCUUAUUUCACUAUUUUAAAAUUAAUAAAAUAUUAAAUAUAUAUUUAUAUUUAUAUUAAUAUUUUAUAUAUUUUUUGUAUUUAAAUUUAAAAAUAUUUUUAUUAUUAAAUUAAAUUUAAGUCAAACUAGAUUAACUCGAAAAAUAAAAAUCUUUAUCCUAAUUUGACCCAACCUACCACUCUCCUGGGCUAUGGAUAUAUCUAUCUUGUCUAUCCUAGUAUGUAUAUGCAUGUUGAGUUGGAGUAUGUUGAAAGGUCAUGAUAUACCUAUAUGAUUUUAUCAAUUGCCUUUUUUCUUUUUUUCUUUUUUGUGAAAUAUCAAUUGCUUUUAAGUACGUAGACAUGGAAGUUUAAUCGAAGUGAACUGCAUACGUUAUGGUUAGAUAGGAUCUGGGUAUCUAUAUGAAUGGGAGAUUUAAAGACUAAAGGUUGGGGUUUUAAGUUAUAACUACGGCCUAUAAAUUCAUUAAAUGAGGACCAAUGUAGUAAAGGCUGAUUAAAAGUUGGGAUUUGUCUAGGGUACCUUCGGAUAUAGGAUUAAAUAUCGUCACGAUUCUCAAUUAAGGGUGUUAGAGGAGUUGGACAUACCGAAAACCUGGACUGAUUCUUUCUUAGCCUUCCAUGUCCUUCCAUGUCUAUUUUUAUUCCCCUUUUCUUUCUUUCUUUCUUACUUUCCUUAGUUCCAUGAUUUCUUCUCCAUCAAACUCAAAAACACUUUUGAGUACUUUCCCUCCUUCAAUCUCACAAUCCCUUCCACCCUACAAACUCUUUCUAUAUUAGUGGUACAGAUUGAGAGAUAAUCGAGAUUAUUAAUUGAAAAAUGGGAACUAAUUUUGAAAACGUCGAAAAUUAUGUAUGGAUUGAUUCGGGAAUUUUAAAGGUAAUCAAUUAUAGUGUUUAUAUUAUAAUAUGAGUUUGAUAUAAUCAACGUAAAAAGAUUGACUAUAAUUUUCCCUGUUUGUAUUUGGUUAUAUUGUAUAAAAAAAAAGCUGUCAUUCAUAUCCAUAAGUAUCCCAACACCCUUCAUUUUGAUGCACUCCUACUUUUAAAACAUGCCAACUUGAUACCCAAAGAUGUGAAACAAGCAAAUCUUAUGAAUCCAAAAUUUUCACCAUAAUUGGAUCACUUAAGAGGAAUAAAAGCAUCAUGAAACUCAACAUUUUCCACAGUAUCCUUGGAGGGAGAUUUGAAACCAACACUGUCAUACGUGCCAUUUUCUUUUUUCACACUUAAUUCCUUGAGAUUUCUCUUUUGUUGAGAGGUAGAAUGCCUAGCUAGGACCUUAGGCAAUAGGCAAGCCAUUUUGUAAACCGAUACUACUGCGUGAUUCGACUCAUAUUGAUCCUCUGUUGUUUUUCACAUUUUGUUUCCAGUUGAAGACAGCAAGUCGAAUGGCAUUUUUUAAGGAGUAAAGGAAAAAAAAGAAGCAAGAUGAUGCUCUUGGCAUUACAUGUAAGGCAUAGGCAACUCAUGAAAAGAACAAAUAUAUAUUUGCGUAACACAUAUGUAUUAUGUUACAACUAUGAUUUCUGUUGGGUAUGGGUCCCACUAUGUGGGAAACCCAUAUUUUCUACCAUAAUGUUUUGUCUCUCUUUUUGGUUUUGUCAAAAGCCAUUUUUGGGGGGGCUUUUAACGGGUGAUGUGGGCAGAAAUUUUUGCAGAGCUAAACAAAAAAAAAUCUCAAAUUAAAACACAGAGAGAGAGAAGAAAAUUUCAGUUUUUCAAGCUUGGUGCAGUAGUGAUCAACUCUUCGAUCGAAGGUCCAUCCGUGGUUUGAUUGAGCUGAUUUUUGGACAGCAGCUAGGCGAUAAGGUGCUCUUGACUUUGUACGGUCGGAUUUCUCAUCCGAGACUUGUAGCGUCGGAAAUACCCAUUUUUCAGCAGCUACGUUUUUGGUGAUGUUCUCUCAUUUUUCUCUCUUUUGCUAAAGAUUACAUAUUGUUAGCCUUGUCGGAGUUGAAUGCUUGUUGUAGGCUUGAUAUUGUGAUCUUGUAGUCGAACAUUUGAUGAUAGUAGAGCUCUUGAUCGGACUCUAAAGUCCCGUGGUUUUUUACCCUUGAUUUAAAGGGGUUUUCCACGUAAAAAUACCGGUGUCUCUAUUUAUUUUUGUUGUGGUUGCAUUAGUUGAUUUGUGGUUGAUUAAGGUUGCUAGAGAACAUAUCUUGUGCUAUUGUGCUUGCCAUAAUUUUUGACAGGAGUUAUAAGGAGAGAAAGAACACCGGUUGUGCUUUCGCUUUGUUUCGGUUGUUCGGUUUCUUCCCAACAAACUGGUACCAGAGCUUGGUUAUUGUGUCAGGUAAUUAUGGAAAUUAAUACGAGCAAGAUGAUUAUGUUGAAUGGCACAAAUUAUCAAUUUUGGCGGAAUAAAAUGAAGGACUUGUUGUUUGUGAAGGCUUUGCAUCUUCUGGUCUUUACUACUCAAAAACCCGAUUCGAAAAGUGAUGAAGAAUGGGAAUUUGAGCAUCAACAAGUGUGUGGCUUUAUUCGGCAAUUUGUUGAAGAAAAUGUUUACAACCACAUUGAUCAAGAGACACAUGCUCGAACAUUGUGGGAGAAGCUUGAAAGCUUGUAUGCUUCGAGGUCGUGUAACACCCCGACUCGUGUCCGUCGCCGGAUUAGUGUUACGAGGCAUUACCGAUCAAAACCCGACUCAAUUUUUUUUUUUUAUAAAUAAAUUAAUCCAUUAUAUAUAUACUAAGCCAUAAAUCCUAAUCAAUACACAUUUGAAUAUAUAUACAUUCGUUUACUCUAUCAAUACGCCAAACGUAAUUAAUCACCAACAUUUACAAGCAUACUUCAAUUUAUAAAUCAUCUCCUAUAUUCACUUAACUACUAAAUCCAACCAAAUCAUAUAUAUUUCAUAUAUAAUACGUAACCUAGACACUUAACUUAACAUUAUUUAUCUUAAUGAAUAUAACAAACUUACUUACUUCAACCACAUAAUUACCGAAACACUUGAAUGAAAUCACCAUGCACAUAUAUAUAUUACCAUAUAAAUACUAACCAUAAAAUACUAAUCCAUGAUUAAAGUAUGCGUAAACCAUAAUUCAGCCCAAAAUCGAACACAAACAAGAAAAUUAAGCCAUUUUCGCAUGGCUUAAUAUUACAUAAUCUAAAUUCAAGUAUUUCAUCUACGCUAUACAUGCCAUAAGAUCGAAUUCAAAAUUUACAAAAUACCGAGAGGAGUCGAUAGUGUGAUAAUCUUCUCUGACGAUCCCCGAGCUCGUAACCAACUUCCAAAAAUCUAUAAAACGAAGAACAACAUACACACAGUAAGCUAUUUAAAGCUUAGUAAGUCAUAAGCAAAAAUUCAUUUAUAUAUAUAUUAAUACUUAUUCCAUCAUUAAGUUAAAAUAAACCAAAUAUCAUAAUAUUUUGUACCAUAUAACACUUUAAUAAAAAUCACAUUGUAUUUUCAUAUAAACAAACCAUAUGGCCAAAUACACAUAAAUAUUUAGCAAAGCCGAAUAUUCAAUAAAUCAUUAUGCUAAAACAUACUUAUACUCAAAUGAUUAACUCAUACUCUAUAUUUCAUUUGAAACUAUUAUCAAAUUAAAAUAAUCAACUUACCUCAUCAGCAAUUAAGCAAAUGGCUAACACAUACCUGAAUAAUUUAACUUUCUUAACACAUUUAUUUGCUUUUACUAUUGCUCCUAUAAAAUUUAUAAAACAUAGAGCCCUAUAUAAAACACCGGCAUAAAGCCUGCUAGGCACAAAGCCCGAUUCAUUUCACCGGCACAAAGCCUGCUAGACAUAAAGUCGGAAUUAAUUCACCGGCAUCAAGCCUGCUAGACAUAAAGUCUAAAAUAAUUCACCGGCAUCAAGCCUGCUAGGCAUUAAGCCUGAAAUAAUCCACCGGCAUCAAGCCUGCUAGACAUAAAGUCUAAAAUAAUUCACUGGCAUCAAGCCUGCUAGGCAUUAAGCCUGAAAUAAUCCACCGGCAUCAAGCCUGCUAGACAUAAAGUCUAAAAUAAUUCACCGGCAUCAAGCCUGCUAGGCAUUAAGCCUGAAAUAAUCCACCGGCAUCAAGCCUGCUAGGUAUUAAGCCUGAAAUAAUCCACCGGCAUCAAGCCUGCUAGGCAUUAAGCCUGAAAAUCUCAUAUACAAAGAUGAUCUUUCGUAUAAUUCUUUAUGUUUACCUAAGUCUUACUCAAUAACCGUAUCUCCGUAAGAAUUGAAUUAUAUUCAAUUCUCCAUAGCAAACAAACAUUCGAACCACAUAUGUAUAAUUUACAACAUUAAAAUUCAGCUCAAAGAAUUUGUAACCUAUAUUCGAACCACAUAUGUAAGUAAAAUUCAUACAUUAAAUUCAGCUCAAGAACUUUGUAACCUAUAUUUGAACCACAUAUGUAUAUAAAAUUCAUACAUUAAAUAUAGCUCAAGAACUUUAAAUAUAUAUAUUCGAACCAUAUGUGCAUAUAUAUAUAAUUCAUAAUAUUAAGUUCAACUCAAAGAAUCAAAGAACUUGUAUCAUACAUUCAAACUUUAUAUAUAUAAUUCAUAACUUUAAAUUCAACUCAAGAAAUUAAAUCUUACAUUCGAACUACAUAUCCAUGUAAAUUCUACUAUUAGUUUCAUAUCAUUGAACUUAAAGCAUACUUUAGCUAAUAUACAUGUAAUUUAUACCAUUAAUAUCAACCUCCCAAAAUUAAUUUCUAUGUUCGGCUAUCACAUAGAAAAAUCACCAAGUUUUAUUCAAUUUAUAUACUUUUAGUUCCAGCUUACUAAAUGUAUGAUAGAUAUAUUUAUAUAAAUUCCAAUUUAAUAACAUUUAAAUUGCUAUUAGACUUACCUUGGAUGUCGUCGACUGUUAAAUCGGCUACUCGACCACUUUUGUAUUUCCCCGAUCCAAAUCCGAUUUCUUUAAUUCUUGAUCUAAGCAUAUUCAAAUUAAGUUUAUUUAAACAUCAUUCUAUUCAAUUUAACCUAAAAACACAUAAAUAGGCAAAUUACAAUUUUUCCCCUAACAUUUCACACUUUUUACAAUUUAGUCCUUUUUGCUCAAAACACAAAAUACACAAAAUUUGACUUCACUCCUUAAGGGCCGAAUAUUCCUAGUGUCCAUACAAGCCCACAUAUUUCAUUUAUUUCACAUUUUAGUCCCUCAAAAAUUUAUUUUUACAAUUAAACCCUAAUUACUCAAAUUCAUCAAAAACUCAAAGACACGACAUGUUAAUCUUUCACAUAUCUUUCAUAUUCCAUCAUCAACUAUCACAAAGCUCAAGCAUUCAUCAAUGGCAUUUCUCAAAAUCAUCAACAAUUCACAAAAUUAAGAUAUGGGUUUUGAAGUAUUCAAAGCAAUGAUCUCAAAAACGUAAAAAUUAUCAAAAACCAAACAAAAACCAACCUUGAAUUAAGCUUCAAAAUGGCCGAAUGUUUCAAGCUUUCAAACCUUGUUUUUCUUUUCUACAUUCGGUGAAGAAAGAUGAACAUAAAAUGGUGGCUUUUAAUGUUUUGUUUUAUUAUAACAUAUAUUAUUAUAUUAUUAUUUUAACUUUUAUUUUAUAUAUAUAAAUCACAUAUCAUCAUUAUGCCAUCCACUACCUAUUACUAUUGGCUAAAUUACAACAUAAGGCCUCAAACUUAUAAAGACAACAACAAUUAGGCACUUUCUUAAUUAACCAUCAAAUUUUCAUUUUACGCGAUUAAGCCAUUUUUUUUUAAAUUAAGCGCACAAACAUAAAAUUAAUUCACGAAACUUUCACAUAUGUAAAUUCACACAUAAUUAACACAGAAAAUAAUAUUAAAAUAUUUUUCAGACUCGAUUUUGUGGUCCCAAAACCACUGUUCCGAUUAGGGUCAAAAUCGGGCUGUUACAACUCUCCCCCUCUUAGGGAUUUUCGUCCCCGAAAAUCUUACCGGUGAAUAGGUUUGGAUAACGCUCUUCCAUUGUAUCUUCUGACUCCCAAGUUGCCUCCUCAACUCUGUGUUUUUGCCAUAGUACUUUGACUAACUAAAUUUUCUUAUUUCUCAAUUCUUUAAUAUCACGAGUCAGAAUACAAAUCGGUUCCUCUUCAUAUGUCAUAUCAGAUUGCAUCUCAAUCUCUGUGGGACUAAUCACAUGUGAAGGAUUAGAUAGGUAUCUAUGGAGCAUCGAAACAUGGAAUACAUUGUGAAUCUUUUCUAGCUCAGGUGGCAACUACAAUCUAUAAGCAACCAGCCCGAUACGCUCUAUAAUCUCAUACGACCCAAUAAAUCUCACACUCAAUUUCUUUUUACGAUCAAAUCUAAGUAUUUUCUUCCACUGUGAUACCUACAAAAAGACUUUAUCUCCAAUCUGAAACUCUAUAUCUUUUCUUUUCAAGUCUGCAUACAAUUUCUGACGAUUCAAUGUUGUUUUUUUUAGACUAUCGCGAAACACUUUCACAUCAUAUAUUUCAAAUUCACACAUAGCUUCAAAUUUCAAAUCUCUUUAAUCUCACAACUAAAAUUCUGAUCUAACUUUCAGUGUACAUCAUCCCUAGCUGAAACUGCUUAACUGUAUUAAAUUUUUUUUUUCCAUUUUCUACUCACAUUCUCUGAUGAUUUUAAUCCUGUGAAUCAUUUUCUCACAAAACUCAAUCCUGAAAUAACGGAGUUCGAUAAUUGCUUAUAAUAGCAAACAUCUUUCUUAGUUACUUUGCAAUUCUAAAACAUAGUGACAAAUAAAUAUUUCAAGAAUUUGGUUUGCGUUUCCCGAUUUCAAUGCAAUUUCAUACUCAUAGAUUACUGUAAUCUCUCUUAGAAUUACCAUAUAAAUUUCAAAUCUCAAUCCAAAACAAUGAUAACUGACACCAUAGACAGAUUUACCAACACAGAAACACAUAACUUAACUGUUUUAUCAAAAGAAAAAAAAAUCUAUACUUACAGAGAGAUUUCUUCAGAGAGUUAACCAUAUUUAAGAUAACUUUAUCUUUUUCAAUGAUAAGAAAAUCCUUAUACAAAAUUCAUCAACUCUCUAUUUCUAUAAUCAACAAAGUCAGAAAUAUCACAUUUCACACUCAUCAUCUAUAUCAUAUCUCGGACUAUUGUACAUCUUGUUAAUCCCGUAUGAACACCAGUGAAAUUUUCUUGUAACAAUUGUUAUAUAUUCGUAGAACCUUCCAGUAUGCACACUCUAUCUCGAAAUAACAAAUAAUCAUCAAUACCACAUCUAAGGUUCUAAGCCGGAAAUCAAUUUAUGUUGAACUCCUUUUUAACUUAUAAUUCGCUGACACAUUUCUAAAUUUCACAACUUCAUUAUAUAAACAUUUAUUUAGCCUCUAAUUCAUCUAUCAACAGUUCAUUACGUGAUAAGAUCAAUCACGUAUUCAUCGCCCAAUCAAAAUAUCCGAAACUUUAAUCAUUUUCCUCGGAUAAGAAUCACUUACAGACUUAAAAGUUUUUCGACGAUUGAAACUAACCUUGCUUUGCCUAGUUCAAAUCUUUAUCUGACAUUAAACAUUUUAAACUCUUAUAAUCAUCAAAUAUUUCACAUAACUCUUUUUAUGCAGCUUUAACUGUAUAAAAUUAGAAGAUAUCUCUAUACACUCUUGUAUUGAAAUACAUUUCGAACCAUUCAUUAACAUGAGGACGAAAAUCAUAAUCUCUUUAUUAAACUCAAACUGAACCAGAACUGAUAUUUCGGUCGACAUUGUCUUCGGGCAAAAGAAAACUUCAACAAUCAAACUAACUUUAAUUUAUCACAACAUUUCCCAGAUAGGAUCAUUCCGAUAGAUAUAAUUCGGUAUCAAGUCUUCAAGAAUAUAAGUUCUUCUUCCAGAUUAUCCCUCAAUUCACACAUGUUCAUUCAAAAUUUAUUUCCAUACUUAUGAAUAGAUUUAGACACAUAUAACUCAAUUAUCUUUUUAAACAAAUAAUUCAAAUUCGACUAAACCACUGAAUCAGUCUUUUCGAAUGAAUCUUUUCUUCUCAUUGAUAAGGAUAACCCAGACAUAUUAUUUCAUAGAUUUAAUAUUAUUCUUCUAUCAUUUUCACUUUUAUCAAUGCUAAACCUUUAUGAGAACUAGAAAAGAGUUUAUAAUGAAGCUAUCUCAUAUAUUAUUCAUCGAAACUCUAAAUUAUACAGAAAUUACCUUAACCAAAUAGAAAUCAUUGUGCCUUAAUAAGAACAAUGUCUCAACCCUAUAAAUAGAUAUUAUCCCAACUGUUAAUGAAGCAUUUGGACACAGAGAAAAAUCAAAUAUGAUUUAAAUAGCAACCAUUGCAGAAACAAAACUUCUAUAACUCUGGGGAUGGUACCACUGUACAAUCACAUUUCAAGUCAGAAAUUAAAAUCAUAAUAAACAUAAUCCUCUUUGCCAAAUAGUGAUCUCUUGCAGAUAAUCACGUGGAAUCAUAAGAAAACCAGAAUAGCGAAAUUUCAGCAUAUGGAGUCACAUAAGAUAUCUAAGAAAAAAAUUUACAACCUAUAUAAAAUGAUAUAAAAUUCCAAUGAUAUCCUAGAAAAUGUCCAGAAAGAACGAUGUCAUUCUUAAAUACUGAAAUCUACAGUAACAAAAGCAAUAUAAUCUUCGCAUAUAUUCAACAGAACAAUAACCAGUAGAAAUAGAAUAUUGAUCUCAUUCAAAUUUUACCAUCGACUUUCGUAUCCACACAAUGAAACAAAUUAUCAGUGAAAGAGAUAACAAUGUCGAACAUAACCCAAACAAAUCAACCAUGCUUUCAUCUAUCAGUACAUUUAGUUAGCGUUUUCACACGAUAAGAAUUUUCUUCUUCUUCUUUUUUUUUUUGAAUUAAAAAAAAUCACAUAUACUUCUGAAGAUAAAUGUACACACAGAAUACCCAAAAAAGAAUCAUAGUAAUUGCCCGACUAUAACCAUUGUACUCAACUAUCAACACAAUUCAAUCAUUAUUCCACUAUCUAAUUUUUUUAUCAGAAAUUUUUCACAUUAUCCCAUCUCUAAAAGAAAUCAAUUCAGGAAAAACUUCCAAUUAAUACUAAUAACAUACCUGAAUACUUUUAUUUCAUCAGAUUCAACUUCUUAGUUAACAGUGACUUUGCAUAAUACGAAUGGCCAUUAAAACGAUUCAAUAUCUCUUAUAGCACUAUCUCAAUUUGCUGACCCAUUCUUUUAUUCGACCACAUUAGUAAUCUUUCAAACACAAACCUCUGUAACUCCACACUUGUGAGCUUAUUCGAUCCAAAUCUUACAGAUUUCAUUGUAACAUUUUACUGAUAAGGGGUGAGGGUAGUAAAACUUCGAAUUUAACUCGGACAUAAAUGCACAUAACACAUACUAUUACAAAUAGCCAAUUUAUUAAUAAUUUCACAUUCUCGAAACAUUUAAUAAACAUUUGCUUAUAAUCACAUUUUUCCUCAACACAUAAUCCAUAUGCCAACUCAAAUCACAAAUUCACAAUCAAAGCAUUCAUAUAGCAAUCGUAGGCCACAUAUCACAACUCAUAUACUCAUAUCAUUACAACAUUUAUCAACAACAAAAUAUCUUAUAUCCUUAUUCAUACCUUCAUGAGUCUCAACUCAUCAUCAACACAUUUUCACUCAAACAUUUGAGUAUUUACUUCUGUACUAUCAAAAUUAGCUCGGUUGGAAAACAUAUCUGUCUCAUCAAAACAAUUUUCGUCAGAGUCGGGAGAUAUCACACUAUCGUAGGUUAAUUAUGGCAUGUAUAGCUAGACUCACACACACUACGUUAGUCCUAGAACCGACUAAACCGUAGCUCUGAUACCAAUCAAAUGUAACACCCCGACUCGUGUUCGUCGCCGGAUUAGUGUUACGAGGCAUUACCGAUCAAAACCCGACUCAAUUUUUUUUUUUAUAAAUAAAUUAAUCCAUUAUAUAUAUACUAAGCCAUAAAUCCUAAUCAAUACACAUUUGAAUAUAUAUACAUUCGUUUACUCUAUCAAUACGCCAAACGUAAUUAAUCACCAACAUUUACAAGCAUACUUCAAUUUAUAAAUCAUCUCCUAUAUUCACUUAACUACUAAAUCCAACCAAAUCAUAUAUAUUUCAUAUAUAAUACGUAACCUAGACACUUAACUUAACAUUAUUUAUCUUAAUGAAUAUAACAAACUUACUUACUUCAACCACAUAAUUACCGAAACACUUGAAUGAAAUCACCAUGCACAUAUAUAUAUUACCAUAUAAAUACUAACCAUAAAAUACUAAUCCAUGAUUAAAGUAUGCGUAAACCAUAAUUCAGCCCAAAAUCGAACACAAACAAGAAAAUUAAGCCAUUUUCGCAUGGCUUAAUAUUACAUAAUCUAAAUUCAAGUAUUUCAUCUACGCUAUACAUGCCAUAAGAUCGAAUUCAAAAUUUACAAAAUACCGAGAGGAGUCGAUAGUGUGAUAAUCUUCUCUGACGAUCCCCGAGCUCGUAACCAACUUCCAAAAUCUAUAAAACGAAGAACAACAUACACACAGUAAGCUAUUUAAAGCUUAGUAAGUCAUAAGCAAAAAUUCAUUUAUAUAUAUAUUAAUACUUAUUCCAUCAUUAAGUUAAAAUAAACCAAAUAUCAUAAUAUUUUGUACCAUAUAACACUUUAAUAAAAAUCACAUUGUAUUUUCAUAUAAACAAACCAUAUGGCCAAAUACACAUAAAUAUUUAGCAAAGCCGAAUAUUCAAUAAAUCAUUAUGCUAAAACAUACUUAUACUCAAAUGAUUAACUCAUACUCUAUAUUUCAUUUGAAACUAUUAUCAAAUUAAAAUAAUCAACUUACCUCAUCAGCAAUUAAGCAAAUGGCUAACACAUACCUGAAUAAUUUAACUUUCUUAACACAUUUAUUUGCUUUUACUAUUGCUCCUAUAAAAUUUAUAAAACAUAGAGCCCUAUAUAAAACACCGGCAUAAAGCCUGCUAGGCACAAAGCCCGAUUCAUUUCACCGGCACAAAGCCUGCUAGACAUAAAGUCGGAAUUAAUUCACCGGCAUCAAGCCUGCUAGACAUAAAGUCUAAAAUAAUUCACCGGCAUCAAGCCUGCUAGGCAUUAAGCCUGAAAUAAUCCACCGGCAUCAAGCCUGCUAGACAUAAAGUCUAAAAUAAUUCACCGGCAUCAAGCCUGCUAGGCAUUAAGCCUGAAAUAAUCCACCGGCAUCAAGCCUGCUAGACAUAAAGUCUAAAAUAAUUCACCGGCAUCAAGCCUGCUAGGCAUUAAGCCUGAAAUAAUCCACCGGCAUCAAGCCUGCUAGGCAUUAAGCCUGAAAUAAUCCACCGGCAUCAAGCCUGCUAGGCAUUAAGCCUGAAAAUCUCAUAUACAAAGAUGAUCUUUCGUAUAAUUCUUUAUGUUUACCUAAGUCUUACUCAAUAACCGUAUCUCCGUAAGAAUUGAAUUAUAUUCAAUUCUCCAUAGCAAACAAACAUUCGAACCACAUAUGUAUAAUUUACAACAUUAAAAUUCAGCUCAAAGAAUUUGUAACCUAUAUUCGAACCACAUAUGUAAGUAAAAUUCAUACAUUAAAUUCAGCUCAAGAACUUUGUAACCUAUAUUUGAACCACAUAUGUAUAUAAAAUUCAUACAUUAAAUACAGCUCAAGAACUUUAAAUAUAUAUAUUCGAACCAUAUGUGCAUAUAUAUAUAAUUCAUAAUAUUAAGUUCAACUCAAAGAAUCAAAGAACUUGUAUCAUACAUUCAAACUUUAUAUAUAUAAUUCAUAACUUUAAAUUCAACUCAAGAAAUUAAAUCUUACAUUCGAACUACAUAUCCAUGUAAAUUCUACUAUUAGUUUCAUAUCAUUGAACUUAAAGCAUACUUUAGCUAAUAUACAUGUAAUUUAUACCAUUAAUAUCAACCUCCCAAAAUUAAUUUCUAUGUUCGGCUAUCACAUAGAAAAAUCACCAAGUUUUAUUCAAUUUAUAUACUUUUAGUUCCAGCUUACUAAAUGUAUGAUAGAUAUAUUUAUAUAAAUUCCAAUUUAAUAACAUUUAAAUUGCUAUUAGACUUACCUUGGAUGUCGUCGACUGUUAAAUCGGCUACUCGACCACUUUUGUAUUUCCCCGAUCCAAAUCCGAUUUCUUUAAUUCUUGAUCUAAGCAUAUUCAAAUUAAGUUUAUUUAAACAUCAUUCUAUUCAAUUUAACCUAAAAACACAUAAAUAGGCAAAUUACAAUUUUGCCCCUAACAUUUCACACUUUUUACAAUUUAGUCCUUUUUGCUCAAAACACAAAAUACACAAAAUUUGACUUCACUCCUUAAGGGCCGAAUAUUCCUAGUGUCCAUACAAGCCCACAUAUUUCAUUUGUUUCACAUUUUAGUCCCUCAAAAAUUUAUUUUUACAAUUAAACCCUAAUUACUCAAAUUCAUCAAAAACUCAAAGACACGACAUGUUAAUCUUUCACAUAUCUUUCAUAUUCCAUCAUCAACUAUCACAAAGCUCAAGCAUUCAUCAAUGGCAUUUCUCAAAAUCAUCAACAAUUCACAAAAUUAAGAUAUGGGUUUUGAAGUAUUCAAAGCAAUGAUCUCAAAAACGUAAAAAUUAUCAAAAACCAAACAAAAACCAACCUUGAAUUAAGCUUCAAAAUGGCCGAAUGUUUCAAGCUUUCAAACCUUGUUUUUCUUUUCUACAUUCGGUGAAGAAAGAUGAACAUAAAAUGGUGGCUUUUAAUGUUUUGUUUUAUUAUAACAUAUAUUAUUAUAUUAUUAUUUUAACUUUUAUUUUAUAUAUAUAAAUCACAUAUCAUCAUUAUGCCAUCCACUACCUAUUACUAUUGGCUAAAUUACAACAUAAGGCCUCAAACUUAUAAAGACAACAACAAUUAGGCACUUUCUUAAUUAACCAUCAAAUUUUCAUUUUACGCGAUUAAGCCAUUUUUUUUAAAUUAAGCGCACAAACAUAAAAUUAAUUCACGAAACUUUCACAUAUGUAAAUUCACACAUAAUUAACACAGAAAAUAAUAUUAAAAUAUUUUUCAGACUCGAUUUUGUGGUCCCAAAACCACUGUUCCGAUUAGGGUCAAAAUCGGGCUGUUACAGGUCGGGCAAUAACAAGUUGUUUUUGCUGAAGAAAAUGAUGGCGCUGAAAUAUAAAGAAGGAAUGUCUAUAGCUGACCAUGUUAGUGAAUUUCAGAGUGUGAUGAAUUAGUUGCUUGGUAUGGGUGUCAAAUUUGAUGACGAGAUUUUAGGACUUUGGUUGCUUGCUACUUUACCAGACUCUUGGGAGACCUUUCGAGUCUCACUCAUUAAUUCUGCCCCACAGGGUAUUAUUACUUUGGAUUUGGCUAAGAGUGGUGUGUUGAAUGAAGAGGUUAGAAGAAGAUCUCAGGGUUUUACAUCACAGUCCGAGGUGUUGGUUAUCGAGAACAGGGGGAGAAACAGAGACAAAGAUGGAAAGGGUAGAGAUAAAAGCCGAAGCAAGUCAAGAUCGAGAUACAAGAAUCUUGAGUGUCAUCAUUGUGGUAAGAAAGGUCAUAUCAAGAAAUAUUGCUUCAAGUGGAAGAAAGAGAACAAAGGUGGUGGUGAUAAACACGAUCGGAAUGACGAUGAAAAAUCCGAGCGUGUUGCUACUGUUACUCGUGAAGAUCUGUUAGUUAUUUGUGAUGAGAAUUUGGUCAACCUAGCAUGCGACGAGACUAGUUGGGUGAUUGAUACUGGUGCAUCACUUCAUGUCACGUCGAGGAAGGAAUUCUUCACAUCUUAUACUCCUGGUGAUUUUGGGGUAUUAAAGAUGGGUAAUGAUGGUUUGGUUUCGGUUAUUGGUAUAGGAGAUGUUAGCUUGGUAAGUAACAAUAGAACAAAGUUAACUCUCAAGGAUGUCAGACAUGCACCGGAUGUCCGUUUGAAUUUGAUUUCUGCAGGAAAACUUGAUGAUGAGGGAUUCUGUAACACCUUCAGUGAAGGGCAGUGGAAGCUGACUAAAGGCUCAUUGGUUGUGGCUCGAGGAAAGAAGAGCUCAAAUUUGUACUUGAUGCAAGCUUUGACUUCUUGAGAGACGGUGAAUGUGACACUGAAUGACAACUCAACUGAGUUGUGGCAUAAACGGCUCAGUCACAUGAGUGAGAAGGGGCUUAGCUGUUUAGCGAAGAAGAAUCAACUUUUGGGUUUAAAGAAUGCUACACUGAAGAAUUGUGCUCAUUGUCUAGCAGGAAAGCAGAGAAGAGUUUCAUUUAGAAUCCAUCCUCCUCAUAGGAAAUCAGAGUUGCUAGAGUUGGUCCAUUCAGAUGUUUGUGGUCCGAUAAAAGUAAGAUCACAUGGUGGUGCACUUUACUUUGUGACUUUCAUUGAUGAUUGUUCAAGAAAGCUAUGGGUUUACACUAUGAAGUCUAAAAAUCAAAUCUUUGAGGUGUUUAAACAGUUUCAAGCAUCAGUUGAAAGGGAAACUAGGAAGAAGUUGAAGUGCAUUCGUACUGAUAAUGGUGGCGAGUACACAGGUCGUUUCAUGAGUAUUGUCUGCGACAGGGAAUCAGACAUCAGAGAACACCACCAAAGACUCCACAGUUAAAUGGGUUAGCUGAAAGAAUGAACCGAACAUUGAUUGAGAGAGUCAGAUGUUUGUUGUCAGAUGCAAAGUUACCAAGAUCAUUUUGGGCUGAAGCUUUGAAUACAGUGACACAUGUGAUAAAUCUGUCUCCUAGUGUUCCUUUGAAAGGUGAUGUGCCAGAUAGAGUUUGGUUUGGUAAAGACGUGUCAUAUGAUCACCUACGUGUGUUCGGUUGUAAAGCAUUUGUUCAUGUUCCAAAGGAUGAAAGAUCCAAGUUGGAUGCCAAGGCUCGACAAUGCAUUUUUAUUGGUUAUGGUCUAGAUGGUGAGUUUGGUUAUAGACUCUAUGAUCCAGUUCAGAAGAAACUCGUGAGAAGCAGAGAUGUUGUCUUCAUUGAGGAUCAGACCAUUGAUGACAUUGAUAAGACGGAGAAAGUGGAUUCACAAGGUAGUGGUGACUUGAUCGAUGUGAAUCCGGUUCCCCUAGACUCUUCACCAGAUCCUAUCCAGGAUGAUGUGCAUGGUGAUGUUAGUGGUGACCAUCAGACUAUAGGUGACUUUGAUACUCCCAUGGAUGAUGUUGUGAAUGAUCAACAACAAGCACCUAUAGCUCCACCAGCAGUUCCACUUCGAAGGUCUUCCAGAGAUCGACGAUCUUCUGUCAGGUAUUCUCCUGAUGAAUAUGUUCUUUUGACUGACGGGGGAGAACCUGAAUGUUAUGAAGAGGCUAUGGAGAGUGAAUGCAAAGAUCAGUGGGUUGAAGCGAUGAAAGACGAACUUCAAUCCUUGCAUGAGAACCAUACUUUUGAAUUGGUGAAACUGCCUAAGGGCAAAAGAGCUUUGAAUAAUCGGUGGGUUUACAGGUUGAAGCAAAAAGAGAAGUCUUCAUCUCCACGAUACAAAGCUAGAUUGGUCGUCAAGGGUUAUACUUAGAAAAAAGGGGUUGAUUUUGAAGAAAUAUUUUCUCCGGUUGUGAAGAUGCCCUCUAUCAGAACUAUACUGAGUUUGGUAGCUUGUUAUGACCUAGAGGUUGAACAAAUGGAUGUGAAAACUGCUUUUCUUCAUGGUGACUUGGAAGAAGAGCUUUACAUGGAGCAGCCAGAGGGUUUUGUUGCACAAGGGAAAGAGGACUAUGUGUGCAGAUUGAAGAAGAGCUUGUAUGGUUUGAAGCAAGCUCCAAGGCAAUGGUACAAGAAGUUUGAGUCUGUUAUGGGGAAGCAAGGCUACAAGAAGACUACUUCUGAUCAUUGUGUGUUUGUUAAGAGAUUCUCUGGUGAUGAUUUUAUUAUUCUUUUGCUCUAUGUUGAUGAUAUGCUUAUUGUCGGUCAGAAUGCUUCUAGAAUUGAGAAGUUGAAACAAGAGUUGAGUAAAUCCUUUGCAAUGAAGGAUUUGGGGCCAGCAAAGCAAAUUCUUGGCAUAAGACUGACACGUGAUAGAAAGGCCAAGAAAUUAUGGUUAUCACAAGAGAGGUACAUUGAGAAAGUACUUCAAAGGUUUAGUAUGGACAAAGCUAAAGCGGUGAAUACUCCAUUUGCUAUUCACUUUAGAUUGAGUGUUAAGCAUAGUCCUUCCACAGAAAAGGAGAAGGAAGAGAUGCAGAAAAUUCCUUACUCUUCAGCCGUGGGUAGUUUGAUGUACGCAAUGGUUUGCACGAGACCAGACUUGGCUUAUGCCGUUGGUACAGUUAGUCGGUUUCUUUCUAAUCCAGGCAGAGAGCAUUGGAAUGCAGUGAAGUGGAUUAUGAGAUAUCUUCGUGGCACUUCCAACAUGAAACUUUGUUUCGGCAAUGAGAAACCUGUUCUUGUUGGGUAUACAGAUUCAGACAUGGCCGAAGACAUUGACUCGAGGAGAUCUACUUCAGGUUACUUAAUCACUUAUGCAGGGGGAGCUGUGGCAUGGCAAUCGAGACUGCAAAAGUGUGUUGCAUUGUCUACUACCGAAUCAGAGUUCAUUGCAGCAACCGAAGCGUGUAAAGAGAUGCUUUGGAUGAAGACGUUUGUGCAUGAGCUUGGUUUUACUCAGGAGAAGUAUGUCCUGUACUGUGAUAGCCAGAGUGCUAUUCAUCUUGGUAAGAACUCAACUUUUCAUGCUAGAUCUAAGCAUAUUGAUGUGAGGUACCAUUGGAUAAUAGAUGUUCUUGAAGCUAAGCUAUUAGAGCUUGAGAAGAUACACACUAAUGAUAAUGGUGCUGAUAUGUUGACGAAGGCCUUACCAAGAGGAAAGUUUGAAGCAUGUUGUUUGACCUCCGGCAUGGAGGCAUUCCCCACAUAGUUGGAGGGGGAGAUUUGUUGGGUAUGGGUCCCACUAUGUGGGAAACCCAUAUUUUCUGCCAUAAUGUUUUGUCUCUCUUUUUGGUUUUGUCAAAAGCCAUUUUUGGGGGGGCUUUUAACGGGUGAUGUGGCCAGAAAUUUUUGCAGAGCUAAACAAAAAAAAAUCUCAAAUUAAAACAGAGAGAAAGAGAGAAGAAAAUUUUAGUUUUUCAAGCUUGAUGCAGUAGUGAUCAACUCUUCGAUCGAAGGUCCAUCCGUGGUUCGAUUGAGCUGAUUUUUGGACAGCAGCUAGGCGAUAAGGUGUUCUUGACUUUGUACGGUCGGAUUUUUCAUCCGAGACUUGUAGCGUCGGAAAUACCUAUUUUUCAGCAGCUACAUUUUUGGUGAUGUUCUCUCAUUUUUCUCUCUUUUGCUAAAGAUUACAUAUUGUUAGCCUUGUCGGAGUUGAAUGCUUGUUGUAGGCUUGAUAUUGUGAUCUUGUAGUCGAACAUUUGAUGAUAGUAGAGCUCUUGAUCGGACUCUAAAGUCCCGUGGUUUUUUACCCUUGAUUUAAAGGGGUUUUCCACGUAAAAAUACCGGUGUCUCUAUUUAUUUUUGUUGUGGUUGCAUUAGUUGAUUUGUGGUUGAUUAAGGUUGCUAGAGAACAUAUCUUGUGCUAUUGUGCUUGCCAUAAUUUUUGACAGGAGUUAUAAGGAGAGAAAGAACACCGGUUGUGCUUUCGCUUUGUUUCGGUUGUUCGGUUUCUUCCCAACAAUUUCAUAGGCACCUGAUUUCAAAAACAACUGUAUCAGUCUUGCGAGGAAAUAGCCUCUGAUUUCAUGUUAUUGAUUUGUUUCUUUUCUUCCCUCACAUUCAGCCAUUUAUUUUUGAAGUUAUAUCAGCUCAGCUACACCAAAAACAAGCCUGCAGCCCACAAUACAAUCCUACUUUUAUGGAGCUUGAAUGUUUAUAAUGACAUUGUACAUAUGAUGAGGUUUUUUUUACAAGAAACCAGCAUAACUAUGGCUGCAGGAAUCUAUAAAUGAACCUUUGAGCAAAGAGGGUGAAUAUUUCUCAGCAAUUUUAUGGAGCUGUCGGGCCAAAUUCAAUAUAUUUUUAAAAUCUUAUCAAGAGAUAACUUUGAAAUGGGAUGUUGGGCCAAACGGAACUCGAAAAUUCUUUUAAAAUUGAUUGAUGUAACCCAUCAACAAGUCCAGUUGGCUCUUAUAGAGAGGAAGACCUGAACAUCUUAAUCUGAAAUCGAGAAAGGAGUGAAAUAGAGUAGCAUCCCAUCCCAUGCUCUAUGUUUUGAAGAUACUCCAUCAUUGUAGUUCCAUUUCCCCUCUUAGGAUCUCUUCACAUGCACACUUGGUUCAUUUCAUUUCCCAUCAAUCGGCAAACAGUAUUUUUUGUAAGUAAAAUUGACUUCUUUAUGAGUUUACCUCAACAAAUAGCUAAAUGUUUGAGCUUACAAUCAUGGUAUUUUAGUCAUAUUAUUAUAACUAUAAAUUAUACAGAUUCUGAUAAGUUAAUAUUUGAGUGUUUUAUUGAAUUCAUAACUGUGUGUAAAGUUUACUAUUACCAUGUUAAUGAAUCCGGAGUUAAUUUUAUUAAUUCAUAAGGUUAUUUUCAUGAGCUUAAAUAUUUUUCAUGGUUUAUCCAAAAACCAAAUUGUUUGACCAAGAUUGUAGAAAUAGAUGAAUUUUAUAAGAAUUUGCGGAUGUAUUUAAUCUCAUCAACCCAGCCUUCACGUUGGAAAUGAGAUCAUCAUUAGAGGAAUUGCAAAGUCUUUUCCCCUUUAUUUGGUUCUAAAACAAAUUAUUUUGCUUUGCUUAAUAUUAAAUCUGAAUAAUCUUUCUCCCUUAAAAAAAAAAAGUUUGAGGAUAGAGAUUAUCCUCUAUGAUAGAGGGGACUGAAUUGGAUGUCUUUUUCAGAAUUGAAAGGCAGUAAAGGUCAUAAAUAGAUUGAUUUUGUCUCUCUUCCAUUCAAAACCAAAAAUUGGCUUUCAAAAGUCUUAAAUCCUACUAUAAUUUAUUAUAAAUGCUCUUCACUAGGGCUUAUAUUUCUCAUUUCUAACUAUUUUGAGCAAGACUUAAAUUUCCUAUUUCAUAUUGUUAUACCCUUUUCUAAUACAAUACUUUAUUAACUGGUCAACAAAGUCUUGCUAAUGUUGAUAAAAUCAGAGAUUCUGGAAUUCUUGAAUACUCAAAUUCAAAUUUUAUAUAAAUUUUCAAUUAUUUUUAUUUUAAUUUAAGACUCACCAUAUGUAAGUUUAAUGUAUAUUUAAUUUGAUUUAGAUUUAAAUAUAUUUUGAAUAUCGUAAAUAAAUUUUAUUUUUCUAAAUUAUGCAUGUGCGGAUCAUAAUUGUAUUAUAUAUAAUAUAUAAGGAAAGUUGACGUCAGAAAUUGUAAAAAGUAUAAUAUAAAUAUUUUUAAUGCAUAAAGAUGGACCACUUCUAACUCAAAACUUGUAAUUUACAUAAUCAUAUUUUGUUAUAAAUGCCCUUAAUAUACGAAAUAAUAUUGAACACGUACCUGUUUUCAUAUUCAUUUUAGAGACGAAGUUCAAUUAACCUAAGCUCCAUUCAUCCAGAAAGUCUCUU
This 27802-nucleotide long non-coding RNA is filed under the name Gossypium barbadense (sea-island cotton). Its description in RNAcentral is "long non-coding RNA (GBAR_LNC008388)". The record is from RNAcentral. Lineage: Eukaryota; Viridiplantae; Streptophyta; Magnoliopsida; Malvales; Malvaceae.